This 11304-nucleotide long non-coding RNA is filed under the name Coffea arabica (coffee). RNAcentral's name for it is "long non-coding RNA (CARA_LNC003546)". Lineage: Eukaryota; Viridiplantae; Streptophyta; Magnoliopsida; Gentianales; Rubiaceae. The record is from RNAcentral.
ACUUUUUUUUUUUUUUUUUUUUUUUGGGUGGGGGCGGCCUUGGUGAUUCCCUUUCUUCUAGAGUUAGCUACUUGUUUCUAAACUAUAAGCAAUACUAUGCUAUAGCUUGGGGAUUGUUCAUUAAUUUGUCAGAUAAUUAAGGAAUAAUAAUUAGUUUAUGAAACUGGCAUGGCUACCACUGAGUCUCAUGUUCAAUUUUAGGAAAAACGUUCAAACUUCAAACUAGUGCUGUAAAAAUUUGGUUAUACUAAUUACUAGAUCUUGAGUUUUUCUCUGAGGGCCUUUUGAGAAUUUUGACUGCCAUGAAAUAGAAGAGAAGGAAAGCAACGAGGAAAAUGAUGAUGAAGCUAGCAAUAUCAAGUUUCUAAUUGGGCAGACCAAAUAAUUAGUUUUCGUUCUUAACACAAAUUUAUUUUGUCAAUUUUUUAAAUUAAUUUUUUUAUUAGUUGAAGGGUCAAAAUUGAGGUCUCACAAAUUAUCAGUCCUCGAUUCAAGUUGCAGUCUAAAUGAAAGUUUUCUAACUAUAUACUUUUAGUAACAUUUAUUCUGUCAUUUGUGAGAUAAUUUAUACUAUUAUUGUCGAGUUGCAAUUAGUUUGUUUUACUUUGUUAUAGUUUGCUUGUAAUUUUAUUAGAAGAAAAAAUUUUGGCAUUUAUUAUUUCAAGAGCAUUUAUGAAUUGGUCAAUAUUCAAUAGCUAUUUGUCUCUAGUGCACCUUCUUAAUUUGUUGAUUUAACAGUGAAAAUGUUCCCGUGUUAUUUCAUCUUUUGGAUCAUCAAGAAAGCCAGCCUAUCACGGUCUUUCCAUCUUUCAUGGUGUAAAGGAGAUAAUUAACAAUUUACCUAGCUAUUUGAUAUUUUUUGGGGGGGGGGGGGGGGGGAAUAAAAUAAACCAAGACCAAGCAAAAGGUCUGAUUUCAGCCGAUGUGAUAUCCAAGCAAAAGGUUCUUAAAUAAAGAGGACAUGGUCGGUGGAGGAUCAUUACUCAUCACCGUUAUUCAUAUUUUAUUUCCUGGGUUGUGUUACUCCAAUAAUUAAGUAUCAUCAUGGUGGUGAUUUGCACCAACUGUCGACUGAUCAAGCAUACCUUCAUUACUUUAAUCGAUUUGUCUUGUUUUUUGAGAAAAUUUUGUGAUUUAUCGAACAUAAAAUACUAUUUAAAUUUGAAUUAAGUAAUUAGUGAAUCAUGCUUGAACGAGCUUUUAUCAAGUUCAAUUCAAUUCGAAUAUCUAAUAGAUUGGUUCAUGUUUUAGUCUAAAAAUAAGUUAAAAAAAACGAAAGUAUACAGGAAAACUAAUGAAGGGGUGUUGUGUAUUAGAAAACAGCCUAUGAUUCUGUGAUUUGUGGUCGUGUUGCCCCUAUAAGUGCCCUAUACCUCUUAAAAACCCCACCAAAAUUUUCCAAUCGCGGAACUUACUUCACCUUGUAAAACUAUAAUUGAGUAGCUUUUUAUUUACUUAGUAUUUAGUACUAAAUCAUAGGAGUCUAGAUAAGGUUGUCAACGGAUCGGGUUUGGAUCCACACUCGGCCCAGAUCCAGUAAUUUAUUCUGCGUAUGGGUUGAGAAAUAAUUUCGGCACUCAAACUCGGACCCGUACCCGUUUACGCUAACAAAGAAGCAGGUCAGAUACGGAAUAUAGGAUUUCGACCCGUAUCCGACCCAGACUUGAACAAUACAUUAAUAAUUAUAAAAUAUAAAUAUUUCUAAAUACAUUCUUUUACUAAAUUAACAAAAAAUAUUAUUUUACCAAAUUAAUCAAAUUACCCGUAUCCCAGAUGAAGCAUCUAAGAAAUUAGGAUUUGAAAGAUACAAACUUGUUUAACCAGAAAUGCAUUCAUCACAGUUGCAUAUAAGUGCUUUUUGCUAAACAUCCUGGGAUCAUGUUGGGCCUUUUUGCUAACAUGGAUAGAAGAAGAUGAAUGAUACAUAUUGGGCCUUUUUCUUUCCUGGUGACACAGGCCCGACCCGAGACCCAUCAAAUCCGGUUCCAAAAUUUUAAGCACAAGACAUGUAUGGUAUAUGGAUUGGGUCUGAGUCUAGUAUAUUAAAAUCGGUCCGGUCCAGAAUUUUUAAUUCCAACCCAAACUCAACUCGUUGACAGGCCUAAGUCUAGACAUUUAGUGGUGGAGUUAGGACCGAGUCUCAAUGAGAACAAAAUUGGAUAAGAUUGUACACUUAAAAUGAAAUUUUAAAAAAUACUUUUUUUUUUGUAUAUAUUGAUAAUUAACUGCAAUUGAGCUGAGAAUAUACAAUGAAAUUCAACAAGGGCAUUCAUGAUCAUGAGGUAACGUGAGAUUAGUUUUGAGUUUGAUUUGAUUAAUUUGCCAUUCGAACCUAGUAAUUUUAUUCAUGCUUCUAUACAACCAAUUAAUUAUUGAGGAAUUACUAUAUGUAAUUUUAACUUGUUCUAUAGGAUUGCACAUGUAUUAGGGUCAAUUUCCUCAUCAACAUUUCUUGUGCUUCGUUGUUAUGGUUUUAAUUUGAUAGUAGCUAGCUCAGUAAUUCCUUUGAGGUUAUAUGUUCCAAUACUUGACACUUUUAUUUAUUGAUAAAUUAUAUUGGAGUGCGAAUGUGGAGAUUCGAUCGAAUGGGGAACCUUUUAAGUCAAAUUCCUUCCCUACUUUACUAAAAUCAACUAAAUAAUUUAUUCAUUUAUUCAUUUUGCAAAACUCUUCAAACAAUAUAGUACAAUUUAGUGAAGUAGCGAUGCCUUUUCUAUCAGAAAUACCCUUACAUGCAUUUUUUUUUUUUGUGCACAAUGGUGCGUAUAAGAGUUGUCUGGUUUUAUGUGAACACGGUGCUUAGGCCCAAGUUGACGGACUGGAAAUUUUUUUUCCAAAAAGUGACGGAUCAAAGUAUUCAAGUGCAAGAUUUGAUUUUUUUUCCCCUAUUGUGUUCGAAUUGUGACUAGUUGGAAUAGAAUUGACUAAAUUGGCAAAAAUAUAGAAAAAAUAGUGAAGAAUCUCAAGCUUGACCCUACCAUGAUGCGUGACAAGUCAAAGACGAGCUCCAAUUUUAAGAUUCGUGGCUUAAUUUUUUUUUUAUAGAGGGGUAAUAACGUGGUAAUGUUAAAAAGUCAUAUUCGUUCAUUUUCUAUAUUCGAAGGAUGACUCUCCUAAUCUAAACAAACAAAUGGACUAAAUGAUCUAUGCGAAAUGCAAGUAUAAAUGAUAUGAUACAAACAUAUAGAGGGAAGGGAAUAAUAGUAGGGGAAAUAUCAUGCAAAUAAAAACAACCAGCACAAUUUGAUUGCAUCACUGCUCUAAUAUCAAGUUAAACUGGCACUAGAAAUGACAGUUUAAUUAUCCUUUCUCAAACAAGAUCCACCGUAAGCAAUUGGAAUCAAAUGGAUAUCAAUUUUUGGUCUGAUUGUCACACCAAGGUUCUCAGUCAUGUCAAAUUCUUCUGGCUUAAGUUCACCAGGGAGCUUCCAAUCAAAAUGGAACAACAACUGUGCAAGUGCCAACUCGAUCACUGCUUGAGAAAAUGAUAUGCCGGGACAAAUCCUUCUUCCAGCGCCAAAUGGGAUGUACUCAAAAUUAUUCCCUCUGUAAUCAAUUUCCGAAUCAAGAAAUCGCGAAGGAUUAAAUUUCUCUGCUUCAAUCCAAUAUUUGGGAUCUCUUCCGAUUGCCCAUGCAUUAACGAUUAUGUCUGCCUUGGCUGGUAUGUCAUAACCAUUGAUUUCGCAUUGCUGACCACAUUCUCUUGGCAACAAUAGUGGAGCACUUGGGUGAAGCCUCAGAGUUUCUUUAAUGAUUGCAUGCAAGUAUUUGAGCUCAUGAAGGCGUGAUUCAUCAACAUUCCCUUUGUCAUUGUAUAUACUUCUCACCUCAUGUUGUGCCCUUUUCAUAAUUUCCGGAUUUUUAAUCAUUUCACCAAUUGCCCACUCCAUGGCUGUUGAUGAAGUCUCGCUGCCAGCACUGAAAAUAUCCUGAAACAUACAGAGAGACGCAUAUCCAUGAAGUUUACAACUUCUACUUUCAAAUCUCUCGGUUAAUUGAUCAUCUGCUGCUUGACUCAAAUAAAUUGAAAGCAAUAUAUGAAUAUUUUACUCUUACGAAAAGCCAAAAAAGGGUAAACGACAGAAUGAUUUUUAUACUGAGAGGUAAAAGUCAAUGGGGUUGAACUUUUUGUCUCUUUUCGUUUGCCUGUUUGGCAUGAAUUGGGGUUUGAUUCCGGAUUUUCCUUUCAAUAGUUUGGUUAGGGCACAAACAAUUAGUUUAUCGUAAAAUGGGGCCAUUUGAGUCUUGUUAAAUCCUGUAUUAAUAGUAUAUUGUUUACUCAUAAUUGACCAUAUAGUUUUAGGAUACUCACAGGCUCGCGUUGGAUAUAGGCCUAUCCCAACAAUUUUAAAACCCUAUUUAAUAAUUUAAUUCAAUACUUAAAUUCAAUAAGUUCAGAUUUUAAUAUAUUUUGAUAACCAAACUAGAAUAUCUGAUUUCAUUAAAUAGCAAUGAAUUUUCUAAGCAAAAUUUGCUCCAAAAAAUAAGUAAUAAACUGUUCACUUAUCACUUAAUGUGAUAUAUACUCAAAUGUAUCAAAUUUAGUAUUUAACAAUUCACUAACUUAAUAAAUUUAGAUUUCAGUUUUAUUAAACGCAACCCAAGCUUACUACUUUGUGAAAUCAUUUGGUGCUGAUUAGUUUCUUUAGCAAAGUCAGAAGCCCACUUUGAUGUUUUUUUCCCCUUUCUUUUCCUUUUCUGGAUUGUUCAUUAAUUUGUCAGCUAGUUAAGGAGUAAUAAUUAGUUUACGAAACUGGCUACCACUAAGUCUCAUGUUCUAUUUUAGGAAAAACGUUCAAACUUCAAACGAGUGCUGUCAAAAUUUGGUUAUACUAAUUACUAGAUCUCAACUCAUUACAAUUCGCAAUCAACAAAAAGUAAACAAAACUAGAUGCAGUUAGUUGAGGUUAAUUGAAUCCUAAUUACAGAUUUUUUUUUUUCUGUCUGAGUUGCAAAGCUUAAAAGAAUAGUAGUGAGUUUUACUUACAAGGAUAACUGCUCUGACGUUUGUAUCAGUUAGCUGAGGUUCAAAGUCCCCACGUUUCUGAAUUUUGAGAAGAACAUCAACAAGAUCAUCCUCCUUGCCUUCUCCGCCUUCCUGUUUUGCCGACUCUUGCAUUUUCCCUUUAUGCUCAUUGAUAAUACUUUCAAGUAUUCCAUUAACUUGCCUGUGUACUUUCUCAAUCCUAAGUCUAGAUAUGCUCAUCAACUCAAGCAACUUGACUGAAGGAAACAUGUCAGCUAAACUGAACUCUGAUGACAGUUUAUUGAGUUCAUCCUGAGUUUCUUUGAAUCUUUCUGUGUCUUUGUUCCUUUUCCCAAAUGCUGCGCGGCUCGUGAUGCUGUAACUGAGAGAGGCAACGGUUCUGCUUAGAUUGAUAGUCGACCCCUUCUGAGAAGAAAUCGAUUUAAUGAGACUGAAGACUUCAUCUUCUCUAAUUGCUUUGAAAGUUUGCACGCGUUUUGGACUGAGAAGUUCCAUGGUGCAGAUUUUGCGUAAUUCUCUCCAAUAUUUUCCGUAGGGAGAAAAGAUCAAAUCAGCAUAAUUAAAAGAAAAAAUCUUGAAUAGGAGACCAUGAGAGGGUCUCGAGGCAAAGAUGAUGUCGUUUGUUUUAUAGAUCUCCUUGGCCAGUUCUGGGGAAGUGACGAUGAUGGUUGGAGUUUCACCAAUCUUUAGGUGCAUCAAUGGUCCAUAAAUAUUGGCCAAGUCUCUGAGCAAGUGAUGGAUCUGGGAACCAAAGAGUUGAUGAAUGUUUCCUAUGAUAGGCAGUGGGUUAGGCCCUGGGGGAAGCCUUAAUCUUGAGUUUUUCUCUGAGGGCCUUUUGAGAAUUUUGACUGCCAUGAAAUAGAAAAGAAGGAAGGCAAUGAGGAAAAGGACAACCUCCAUUGAAGACUGAAGCCAGAAAUGUGGAACUUGGGUGUUAUUUGCUUACUGAAGCAUAAUAUUGAUUUUUAUAGAUGCUGAUGAAGCUAUCUGCACCACGUAUUUAGUUGAGUAUUCCCUAUCUGCACCUACAAAAGCACACAAAAUAGACCCCAAAAAUUUAUAUAUAUAAAAAAAAAGAAGCAGUCAUGCGUGGUUAAAAUACUCGUGUACCCUAUCUUAAACAAUAAAAUAGAAACUCAUUUCGUUUAAAUAAUAAAAGUGAAAUUCACUCGUCAUUAGAAAAAUCCUCUGUUGAAUAAGCAUAAUUUGCCUUGGGUUAGCGUAACGUCUCUCCAAAGGCUCACAAAACCCAAAACCGCCACGAAAUAGCCCACCCCACCCACAACCCGCCCCUCCUCACUCCUCCUUACCAUUGUAGUACCAAGUUUCCAUGCCCCCAAAUCUCACCUUUCACCAACUCUCCUUCUACCCCUCUCUCUCUCUCUGUCUCACUCCAAGAAACGUCACUGUGUUUGCUGGAAAAAUUACCCCUUUUUUUCAUUUUCCAUAGCUUUCUUGGUCUAGAUUAGCAAAAGAACCUGCAUUGUAUCAGCUCAUCUCUGCAGAAAUCUUGAGAAAAUGUGGCAUCUUGCAAAAACCCAUUGUGGGAUUUUGAGUUAUGCUGGGAUUUCGUGAUCUUCUUACAGGGUUUUUGUGCCAUGGAGAAGCAAAAUAGGCUUGUCGAUAAGUCACAUUUUGGUGUGAAAAGACAAUGUGAAGGGUGAAAGUUUGAGUAUCUGGUGUCUGAACUGUGUGUAUAUGUUUGUGUGUGAUGAUGGUGGCUGCUGUUUCUGGUGGAGGAGGAGCAGCUUCAACAACUGGCCCACAAAACCCCAAAACAAUUUCUCGAGAUGAGACUCAAACUCACCAAAGAAGACCUCCACUGCUGCCUUCUGAGAAGGAUAAUAAUGGUAUUGACAACCCAAAAAGGCCUAAAUCAAGAGUUGUUUCUUCAAGGUACAUGUCCUCUUCUCCUUCCACUUCUUCAAGGUAGUAUUAUUGUCGAGUUGUAAUUAGUUUGUUUUAGUUUGCUUGUAAUUCUAUUAGAAGAAAAAAAAUUUGGCAUUUAUAAUUUCAAGAGCAUAUAUGAACUGGUCAACAUUCAAUAGCUCUUUGUCUCUAGUGCACCUCCUUAAUUUGGUGAUUUAACAAUGGAAAUGUCCACGUGUCAUUUCAUCUUUAGGACCGUCAAGAAGCCAGCCUAUUAUAUUCUUUCCAUCUUUUAUGGUGCAAAGGAGUUAAUUAACAAUUUGCCUGGAAACUUGAUAUGCGAAUUGGUGUAUCCAAGGGGAUUAAAAAACCAAGACCAAGCAAAUUACAGAUCUGAUUUCAGCGGAUGUGAUAUCCAAGCAAAAGGUUCUUAAAUAAAGAGGGCAUGGAGGGUGGAGCCGUGGAGGGUCACUCAUCACGGUUAUUCAUAUUUUAUUUCCGGGUUGUGUUUCUCCAAUAAUUUAAGUGGAUUUAACUUAGUUUAAGUGUGUUAAAGACACUAACCCAAGUGUCAUAUAGACCAGUUUAAGAGAGUUUUAGGGAGCCCACACCCCAGAAUAAGAGAGGAGUUUUGGUUAGACAUCAAAUCAAAAGAGCAAGUCAUGAGUUUUUGGGUCAUUAAGUAUUUAGUGCUAUUUAGAAUCUUUUGUGUUUUUAGUUUUAAGUGCCUUUUGAGUUUAGAAAUUAUUUUUUGGUUCUUGUAUUCUCUCCUUUGUACUUUUUUUCUUAUUAUAGUAAAUCUACUACUCCUUCACCCGUGGACACGUAGAUCAGUUUGAUCGAAUCACAUAAAUUUGAUAUUUUUCUCUGUUUGAUUUAUUUGUUCUAUUAUUGUUAUUAUUGAAUUGCCAAUAACCCCUAUUAUUCUCGUUUAUCGAUUUUCUGGGACACGACCUAACAGGUUUUGAUUUUAUUGACAAAUUCCGAUGCGUUGGCAACGUGGGUAUUAUGUAAUCUUCUAUGGGUGAGGAGAUUCCUUUCUGCAGGCAAGGCAUCUAUUGUUCUUGUUUUUUGCGAGGCAAACUCUGCUUCUGAUAAACUUGCAGCGCUUGAUUUACGUACAAUUUUUUUCUUCAGUUUUUGAGCUGCCGCUGGCUGUAAAGGCAGCUUCGUUUCUAGAUAGUUUGCAGGUACCUUUUACUAGGGCAUAUAAUGUAAAGGAGCACUGCUCCUUAUUUAUUUUUAUUUUUAUUUUAUUAUUAUUAUUUGUUGCAUUCUGAUGAGGUCAGGCCUAGCCCUACUCAUGCUUGUACCUUUCUUUGGUGUUUAAUAAAAUUUGGACUGACAUUCUACUCCAUAUAUGGGGGUUUGCUAAAAAAUAAUAAUAAUAAAACCAUACCCCAUUACUUUAAUCGAUUUGUCCUAUUUUCAAGAAAAUUUUAUGAUUUAUCGAACAUAAAAUACUAUUUAAAUUUGGCUUGACUAGUUAAUGGAUUAUACAUGAACGAAUUCUUAUCAAAUCGAACUCAAUUCGAGUAUCGAAUAGAUUAGUUCAUCUGUCGAUUCUAAAAAUAAGUGAAAAAAAAGAAAGAAUACAAGAAAACUAAUGAAGAGGUAGUGUCUAAUAGAAAAUGGCCUAUGAUUCCGUCGUUUGUGGUCGCGUCUCCCCUACAGCUACUCCAUACCUCUUUAAAACCCCACCAAAAUUUUCUAAUCGUGCGACCUCACCUUGCAAAACUCUAGAGUGUGUUUGGGUAGGAGAUUAUUUGGGAUAAUUUUUUUUAAAAAAAUACUAUAAUACUUUUUAAAUGUGAUAUAUGUGAGAUAAAAAGAUAAUGUAGCAUUUUAUUUGCUGUAUUUAGUACUGCAUCAUGGGAGUCUAGAAGCGUAGUGCCGCAUUCAACGGUGGAGUCAGGACCAAGUGUCAGUGCGAAAGGAAUUGGACAAGAUUGUAUACUUAAAAUCAAAUUUAAAAAAAUUCUUUUUUAGAUUUUUGUUCUACUUCCUAUAAUUUUUUCUUAUUCAAGUAGUAACUAAAUAUAUCUCAAUUAGUAAUAGUUUUGAAACGAUUGGACCACAGAAGGGAUAUUUCAAAGAAAGAAAUUAGUUGUUUAGAGGUGACUAGUUUUCAAAUUAUAAGAGGUUAAUAUCAAGAGAUAAGGAUACUUUUGAAAAUUGAGGGGAGACAAGAUCUAAAUUUUUACAAAAUUUUCAAGCCCAUUUUGUGACUUUUUGCAAAGUUGAUUAACCCACUCUCACAUCAAGGUGGCUUCGUACCUUCCUGACCGUGGAUCCAACUUACCCCCGCACAAAUUAGGCACGAUGAACAUUAACAAAAAUCUGAAGCAGUCUCAUUAUCCAUGCCUUCUCCUUUCACAUCUCCUGUUAAAUUGCUUCAAACUCAUAUAUCAAAUUGAGAUUUGACAAACUAGAAUUAGAAAUUUCAAAUCUGGCAAACGAAUCUGAAAAGAUUGAAAAUUGACAAUCAGUACUCUAAAGAAUUGACAAUUGACAAUUGACAAAGACUAAAGAACCAAAUGACAACGGUGACAAUCGGUACUCUAACCAGAUCUUUUUAUGGUUUUAUUGGUUUAGGAGGGCCUUUUUAUAAACUAGGAAACAAUGGCGACAAUUAAAUUAAUUCAUGCUCAAUAAUCAGAUGAUAUUUUGGGAGUAGAGAAGCGUGACAAAUGUUCAGGCCGAAAACUCUUUUUUCCUUCUUACGUAAAUUCAGGCACCAAAAUUCUUUGAUGUUCGUGUCACUCCAUUGUUUCUCUCCUCGCCUACUCUGUCUCUUUUGAGUUUUUUUCCACUGCUCAAUCUGUUUGUUCUCUCUCUCUCUAAUGCAUUUCAUCAACCUGUUUCAGUCAAGGAUAUCUUUGCAAAGAAUAUCUGUCUUCUUCAAGAAAAGGCUGGAAACUAAGAAUGGAGGCCAUAAAUCGUCAUUCUUUGAUCGGUCUAAAAGGAAAUACCACUUUUCUGCAUAAGAAACAAAAUGAGAGAUGUAACUUAUACGAUGGCAGAUGUGAUCCGAUUUACGUUUCUUUUUCUGUAAAUAAAUUGCACACAUAAAAAAAAGGAAAAACUGAGAUUAAAAGUAUCACUAACAGAACAGUAAUGUCUUAGUAAAGUUCAUGGAGUAUGCCAAACAUCACCGCAACGGAUCUUCUGUCCCACACCCUAUGCCAUUCUUACAACGGGACUUCACACUUAAGUUAUGUUAUAGGAAAAAAGAUUCUUGCAUUUUUCCCUCUUGUUGAAAAAGCAUCUAUUUUUCCACGCAUUUCUCAAAAUACGUCAAUUGAUACACGCAAGAAAUAGGCCAAUUCAGCAGCCUUUUGUUCAAUUUCUCGUGGAGUCAAAUUUUCAUCGGUACGAGUUAAGGGAAUGGUCCCCUGGCCUCGAAUUUCCAUAUAAAGGACACGGCGUGCAAAAAUACCCUCUUUAACUUCUAUUCGAAUGGACUGAAUAUCUUUUAUAAGGAAUUGGAGGAAUAUGCGACGAUUUUUUCCAGGAAAUCCUCAACGAAAAAUACACACUAUGCCUUCCUUUCUAUCGAAUCGAUCAUAAUCAUUGCCUACAUUCCAGGAAAUUGUUCACCACAAAUAGGAGCUAAUAAAGAGACCUGCGAUUCCGUAGAAAGACAUGACGAUCCCUUGUGGAAAAAAAAAAACGAUUUGUUGAGACGGAAAAAAAGAUAUCAAAUUUCCACCAAGAUAACUGGAAAUUCCAACCAAUAAGAAUCCUACUGAACCUACAAAAAGGAUAAAGGCCCAACAAAAAUUACUUAUUUUUCGAGACCCCUUUAUAAGUUUUAUCCAUAUAUGCUCUGAUUGCAAACUCAUACUUGAUCCGAUUACAUUUUAUUAGAAUUGAGAGAAUACUUCAAAUUUUUUUGACUUUACUUUUUUUGUUUCCGAAGUAACUCUCAUCAACUAGCACUAGUUUGGUUAAAUAAAUACAACAGCUUCAAAAAAGCAAUAUAUAUAUAGUAGAAAAUUAAAAAAUACAGCAAAAUUCAUAAAAAAUCUCAUUUUAUAUCAAUUUUGAUUUUUUGAGUUUGUUAAUUUUUUUGUAAUACUCAGUAAAUAGUUAUUGGAUCUUAAAGAAACAAAAAAGAACUAAAACAUGAUAUUUACGUAGGAGAAAUUGCAAUAUAAUAAAAAGUGGGACAGAAAAUGGCAUAGGGUGUAGGACAGAAGAUCCGGCUCCGUUGGCAAGCACUGUGAAGUGAGGCAGGUGCAUGGCAGAUUUUAGAGUACAGAAAGUAAUAAAGUUCAUAAAAUCUUUAUUUUAGGUACAUAAUCAAGGUAAAAUUAUAAAGUAGUAUCAUAGACGGGAUGACAAGUAUUAGCAUAAUUUAGGCAUCCCUGUAAAGCCUAGUCAUCCUUUAUUAAACAAGAACCAAGAUAAGGAAUUGGAAUCAAGUGGAGAUCAUUUUUUCUCCU